UACGUAGGGUGCGAGCGUUAAUCGGAAUUACUGGGCGUAAAGCGUGCGCAGGCUGUUCUGUAAGUCAGAUGUGAAAUCCCCGAGCUCAACUUGGGAACUGCGUUUGAAACUACAGGACUAGAAUAUGUCAGAGGGGGGUAGAAUUCCACGUGUAGCAGUGAAAUGCGUAGAGAUGUGGAGGAAUACCAAUGGCGAAGGCAGCCCCCUGGGAUAAUAUUGACGCUCACGCACGAAAGCGUGGGGAGCAAACAGG
RNAcentral lists this ribosomal RNA (253 nucleotides) under uncultured bacterium. Its description in RNAcentral is "partial 16S ribosomal RNA". It matches the Rfam family "Bacterial small subunit ribosomal RNA", at positions 524 to 776 of the family's 1533-position model. The record is from RNAcentral.